This 503-nucleotide ribosomal RNA is filed under the name uncultured bacterium. RNAcentral's name for it is "bacterial SSU rRNA". It matches the Rfam family "Bacterial small subunit ribosomal RNA", at positions 775 to 1275 of the family's 1533-position model. The record is from RNAcentral.
AGACAAUAGAUACCCGGGUAGUCCACACCGUAAACGUUGGGCGCUAGGUGUGGGACACAUUCCACGUGUUCCGUGCCGCAGCUAAACGCAUUAAGCGCCCCGCCUGGGGAGUACGGCCGCAAGGCUAAGACUCAAAGGAAUUGACGGGGGGCCCGCACAAGCGGCGGAGCAUGCGGAUUAAUUCGAUGCAACGCGAAGAACCUUACCUGGGUUUGACAUACACCGGAGAGCUGCAGAGAUGUAGCCCCUUUUAGUCGGUGUACAGGUGGUGCAUGGCUGUCGUCAGCUCGUGUCGUGAGAUGUUGGGUUAAGUCCCGCAACGAGCGCAACCCUCGUCUUAUGUUGCCAGCACGUAAUGGUGGGGACUCAUAAGAGACUGCCGGGGUCAACUCGGAGGAAGGUGGGGAUGACGUCAAGUCAUCAUGCCCCUUAUGUCCAGGGCUUCACGCAUGCUACAAUGGCCGGUACAAAGGGCUGCGAUACCGCGAGGUGGAGCGAAUCCC